CCUACGGGUGGCAGCAGUGAGGAAUAUUGGUCAAUGGACGAGAGUCUGAACCAGCCAAGUAGCGUGAAGGAUGACUGCCCUAUGGGUUGUAAACUUCUUUUAUAUGGGAAUAAAAUGUUCCACGUGUGGGAUUUUGUAUGUACCCUAUGAAUAAGGAUCGGCUAACUCCGUGCCAGCAGCCGCGGUAAUACGGAGGAUCCGAGCGUUAUCCGGAUUUAUUGGGUUUAAAGGGAGCGUAGGUGGAUUGUUAAGUCAGUUGUGAAAGUUUGCGGCUCAACCGUAAAAUUGCAGUUGAAACGGGCAGUCGUGAGUACAGUAGAGGUGGGCGGAAUUCGUGGUGUAGCGGUGAAAUGCUUAGAUAUCACGAAGAACUCCGAUUGCGAAGGCAGCUCACUGGACUGCAACUGACACUGAGGCUCGAAAGUGUGGGUAUCAAACAGGAUUAGAUACCCCUGUAGUC
This 460-nucleotide ribosomal RNA is filed under the name uncultured bacterium. RNAcentral describes it as "partial 16S ribosomal RNA". It matches the Rfam family "Bacterial small subunit ribosomal RNA", at positions 338 to 795 of the family's 1533-position model. The record is from RNAcentral.